GACGAACGCUGGCGGCGUGCUUAACACAUGCAAGUCGAACGGUAAGGCCCUUCGGGGUACACGAGUGGCGAACGGGUGAGUAACACGUGGGUGAUCUGCCCUGCACUUCGGGAUAAGCCUGGGAAACUGGGUCUAAUACCGGAUAGGACUCCGGACUGCAUGGUCUGGGGUGGAAAGCUUUUGCGGUGUGGGAUGGGCCCGCGGCCUAUCAGCUUGUUGGUGGGGUGAUGGCCUACCAAGGCGACGACGGGUAGCCGGCCUGAGAGGGUGACCGGCCACACUGGGACUGAGAUACGGCCCAGACUCCUACGGGAGGCAGCAGUGGGGAAUAUUGCACAAUGGGCGCAAGCCUGAUGCAGCGACGCCGCGUGAGGGAUGACGGCCUUCGGGUUGUAAACCUCUUUCAGCAUCGACGAAGCGAAAGUGACGGUAGGUGCAGAAGAAGGACCGGCCAGCUACGUGCCAGCAGCCGCGGUAA
This 478-nucleotide ribosomal RNA is filed under the name uncultured bacterium. Its description in RNAcentral is "partial 16S ribosomal RNA". It matches the Rfam family "Bacterial small subunit ribosomal RNA", at positions 28 to 523 of the family's 1533-position model. The record is from RNAcentral.